This 253-nucleotide ribosomal RNA is filed under the name uncultured Acidobacteriota bacterium. RNAcentral's name for it is "uncultured Acidobacteria bacterium partial 16S ribosomal RNA". It matches the Rfam family "Bacterial small subunit ribosomal RNA", at positions 524 to 776 of the family's 1533-position model. The record is from RNAcentral. Lineage: Bacteria; Pseudomonadati; Acidobacteriota.
UACAGAGGUGGCAAGCGUUGUUCGGAAUUACUGGGCGUAAAGGGCGCGUAGGCGGCUCUUUUAGUCAGACGUGAAAUCCCCCGGCUUAACCUGGGAACUGCGUCUGAUACUGGAGAGCUUGAGUGCGGGAGAGGGAUGUGGAAUUCCAGGUGUAGCGGUGAAAUGCGUAGAUAUCUGGAGGAACACCGGUGGCGAAGGCGGCAUCCUGGACCGACACUGACGCUGAUGCGCGAAAGCUAGGGGAGCAAACGGG